This 497-nucleotide ribosomal RNA is filed under the name uncultured bacterium. RNAcentral describes it as "partial 16S ribosomal RNA". It matches the Rfam family "Bacterial small subunit ribosomal RNA", at positions 28 to 507 of the family's 1533-position model. The record is from RNAcentral.
GAUGAACGCUGGCGGCGUGCCUAAUACAUGCAAGUCGAGCGAACGGACGAGAAGCUUGCUUCUCUGAUGUUAGCGGCGGACGGGUGAGUAACACGUGGAUCACCUACCUAUAAGACUGGGAUAACUUCGGGAAACCGUAGCUAAUACCGGAUAAUAUUUUGAACCGCAUGGUUCAAAAGUGAAAGACGGUCUUGCUGUCACUUAUAGAUGGAUCCGCGCUGCAUUAGCUAGUUGGUAAGGUAACGGCUUACCAAGGCAACGAUGCAUAGCCGACCUGAGAGGGUGAUCGGCCACACUGGAACUGAGACACGGUCCAGACUCCUACGGGAGGCAGCAGUAGGGAAUCUUCCGCAAUGGGCGAAAGCCUGACGGAGCAACGCCGCGUGAGUGAUGAAGGUCUUCGGAUCGUAAAACUCUGUUAUUAGGGAAGAACAUAUGUGUAAGUAACUGUGCACAUCUUGACGGUACCUAAUCAGAAAGCCACGGCUAACUACGUG